RNAcentral lists this ribosomal RNA (938 nucleotides) under Enterococcus hirae. Its description in RNAcentral is "bacterial SSU rRNA". It matches the Rfam family "Bacterial small subunit ribosomal RNA", at positions 8 to 916 of the family's 1533-position model. The record is from RNAcentral. Lineage: Bacteria; Bacillati; Bacillota; Bacilli; Lactobacillales; Enterococcaceae.
AGAGUUUGAUCCUGGCUCAGGACGAACGCUGGCGGCGUGCCUAAUACAUGCAAGUCGAACGCUUCUUUUUCCACCGGAGCUUGCUCCACCGGAAAAAGAGGAGUGGCGAACGGGUGAGUAACACGUGGGUAACCUGCCCAUCAGAAGGGGAUAACACUUGGAAACAGGUGCUAAUACCGUAUAACAAUCGAAACCGCAUGGUUUUGAUUUGAAAGGCGCUUUCGGGUGUCGCUGAUGGAUGGACCCGCGGUGCAUUAGCUAGUUGGUGAGGUAACGGCUCACCAAGGCGACGAUGCAUAGCCGACCUGAGAGGGUGAUCGGCCACAUUGGGACUGAGACACGGCCCAAACUCCUACGGGAGGCAGCAGUAGGGAAUCUUCGGCAAUGGACGAAAGUCUGACCGAGCAACGCCGCGUGAGUGAAGAAGGUUUUCGGAUCGUAAAACUCUGUUGUUAGAGAAGAACAAGGAUGAGAGUAACUGUUCAUCCCUUGACGGUAUCUAACCAGAAAGCCACGGCUAACUACGUGCCAGCAGCCGCGGUAAUACGUAGGUGGCAAGCGUUGUCCGGAUUUAUUGGGCGUAAAGCGAGCGCAGGCGGUUUCUUAAGUCUGAUGUGAAAGCCCCCGGCUCAACCGGGGAGGGUCAUUGGAAACUGGGAGACUUGAGUGCAGAAGAGGAGAGUGGAAUUCCAUGUGUAGCGGUGAAAUGCGUAGAUAUAUGGAGGAACACCAGUGGCGAAGGCGGCUCUCUGGUCUGUAACUGACGCUGAGGCUCGAAAGCGUGGGGAGCAAACAGGAUUAGAUACCCUGGUAGUCCACGCCGUAAACGAUGAGUGCUAAGUGUUGGAGGGUUUCCGCCCUUCAGUGCUGCAGCUAACGCAUUAAGCACUCCGCCUGGGGAGUACGACCGCAAGGUUGAAACUCAAAGGAAUUGACGG